CUAUGCCUAGCCGUAAACUUUUAAUUACCCCCCCCCCAUCGCCCGGGAACUACGAGCCAAGCUUAAAACCCAAAGGACUUGACGGUACCCCAUAUCCAUCUAGAGGAGCCUGUCCUAUAAUCGAUAACCCCCGCUUAACCCCACCAUUUUUAGUUAAUCAGCCUGUAUACCUCCGUCGUCAGCUUACCACGUGAGCGACAUAAAGUGAGCUUAAUGUCCACUCGCCAUUACGUCAGGUCAAGGUGCAGCAAAUAAAAUGGAAAGAGAUGUGCUACACUUUCUAACAUAGAAAACACGAAAGAUUACCUAUGAAACCUAAUCAGAAGGCGGAUUUAGUAGUAAAAAAAGAUCAGAAAACUCUUUUUAACUUGGCACUGGGGUGUGUACACACCGCCCGUCACCCUCUUCAAAGCUUAUAAAUAGUUAUUAACCAAUCGCUGCUACACAGAAGAGGCAAGUCGUAACAUGGUAAGUAUACCGGAAGGUGUGCUUGGAAA
This 497-nucleotide ribosomal RNA is filed under the name Paratelmatobius cf. segallai MTS-2020. RNAcentral's name for it is "partial 12S ribosomal RNA". It matches the Rfam family "Bacterial small subunit ribosomal RNA", at positions 790 to 1522 of the family's 1533-position model. The record is from RNAcentral. Lineage: Eukaryota; Metazoa; Chordata; Amphibia; Anura; Leptodactylidae.